AGUGAACGCUGGCGGUAUGCCUAAUACAUGCAAGUCGAACGGCAGCACAGUAAGCUUUCUCUCCUACGGUUGGCUGCUGACGGAUGGGUGACGAAUACAUCGGCUUCUACUUUUUCGUGGGGGAUAACGUAGGGCAACUUAUGCUACUACCUCAUACUACCUACCGGUUAAAGCAUGUGAUCUUCGGACCUUUCCCGAUUUAAUGAGCCGAUGUCGGAUUUGUUAGUUGGCAGGUUAAAGGCCCACCAAGCCAACGAUCCGUAGCUAGUCUGAGAGGAUGAUCAGCCACACUGGAACUGAGACACGGUCAAGACUCCUACGGGAGGAAGAAGUGGGGAAUAUUGGCCAAUGGGCGAAAGCCUGAUGCAGAAAUACCGCGUGGGUGAAGAAGGCCUUCGGGUUGUAAAGCCCGUUUGUUGGGAAAGAAAAGCAGCAGGUUAAAACGUCGACGUUCUGACGGUACCCAAACAGAAAGCAACGGCUAACUACGUG
This 492-nucleotide ribosomal RNA is filed under the name uncultured bacterium. RNAcentral's name for it is "partial 16S ribosomal RNA". It matches the Rfam family "Bacterial small subunit ribosomal RNA", at positions 29 to 507 of the family's 1533-position model. The record is from RNAcentral.